This is a long non-coding RNA of Pteropus alecto (black flying fox), 1141 nucleotides long. RefSeq lists it as uncharacterized. The record is from RefSeq and is a predicted model, not a curated record. The transcript has 2 exons. Lineage: Eukaryota; Metazoa; Chordata; Mammalia; Chiroptera; Pteropodidae.
GACACGGCGAGAGAGGUUGUCGGGCGUAAGGGACACAGGGGCGUGUGUGCCGAAGCCCGGAGAGUCACGGUGGACGUCCGGGGGGUGGCGGGAGCGAGUGGGCCUGCGACGGGCCGCGGACCCCGUGGAGGACAGCGGCCCGAACUCACGCGGAGGUUCGCUUUUAGGGCGGACCCCCCACCUCCCGCCCCGUGUUUAACUUCGCGCCUGCGGUGGCCGACCUAGCUCGUCUAGGAUGCAGCCACAGAGGCAGCGACAACACCCUCUCCUUUCGUCACAAGGAAGCGUCCUUCCCGGAAUCCCCCCGCAGUUGCUGUCAGAUGUCCGCGGACAGGGUCCCUUCGCGCGCGCCUCGCGCAGACGGAGGGGAAGCGGACGAGCGUGGGCUCCGGCCAGCGGGGCCGGGCGUCCGUCAGGCCCCACGCCGCAGCUCCAAGGGCGCAUAGCGGCCAUCAGGAGGAGUUGGAGGCCAAGUGGGGACAACCGAACCUGCCACAAACCUGCUGGAACCCACAGGAUGGACUGGUCACACGCAUGUCCUGCAGGAGCAGUGGGCACCGGUCCUCACAGGAGGACACGCCUGGCCCAGGAGUGGGGCAAGCCGAAGGCUGCACGCCGGCCCCCACCAGUGAGGUGAGCGGCAGCCACCCCUGGACCCCUGCCCUGCCCUUCCAAGUGUAAAAACGUCGCGGCUUUCCCCGUCCCACGCAGAAUGCCUCUCGUGGCCCAGUUAGGACACCUGCAGGAAGGAGAAUUCUAGUGAAGUGGUCCGGCCCAGCCUAGUUGCCACACCCCACGGAGGCCAUCACCAUACCAGAAAGGCGCUCUUGGCUGUCAUUGUCCACUCCCCUUGGGGCGCUUUAGAUCCUUUGCUGCUCAGGGACAGAUGACCAGCGCCUCCGCCCGUUUCUGGAUCCAGAGCCCCUCAGGCCCAGAGUCCCAGCCGUCCACGCUGCCUGGCCCUUCCGUUUCACCUUUGAUCUCUGAAAGUGUUUUGGUUUUUAUAUAUUUUUUUGAACGAUCUGUUGUAGCCAUGAGUGGAGGGAAUCGGGGAAGGUCUCUGAACGUGAACUUGUAAUGCCUUCCGCCCAGAGGAAGUAAAUGUUUUUCAAAUAAAGGACAAUAAAAGAGUUUUGUCCUA